This 299-nucleotide signal recognition particle RNA is filed under the name Aotus nancymaae (Ma's night monkey). RNAcentral describes it as "Metazoan signal recognition particle RNA (ENSANAG00000006538.1)". It matches the Rfam family "Metazoan signal recognition particle RNA". Rfam says of the family: The signal recognition particle (SRP) is a universally conserved ribonucleoprotein. It is involved in the co-translational targeting of proteins to membranes. The eukaryotic SRP consists of a 300-nucleotide 7S RNA and six proteins: SRPs 72, 68, 54, 19, 14, and 9. Lineage: Eukaryota; Metazoa; Chordata; Mammalia; Primates; Aotidae. The record is from RNAcentral.
GCCGGGCGUGGUGGUGCCUGCCUGUAGUCCCAGCUACUCGGGAGGCCGAGGUGAGAGGAUCGCUUGAGCCAAGGAGUUCUGGGCUGUAGUGCGUUAUGCCGAUCGGGUGUCCGCACUAAGUUCGGCAUCAAUAUGGUGACCUCCAGGGAACGGGGAACCACCAGGUUGCCUAAGGAGGAGUCAGCCGGCCCAGGAUGGAAACGGAGCAGGUCAAAACUCCGGUGCUGAUCAGUAGUGGGAUCGUGCCUGUGAAUAGCCACUACACUCUAGCCUGGGCAACAUAGGGAGACCCUGUCUUA